CCCGGACCCUCGAAGCCAGUUCCUUGCGUCAGUGCCGCGGCUCUUUAACCCGAAGGGAGAUUUUUUUUUUAAAGCCAGAGGCCGUUGACGCUGGGUAGCCUUUGGCUGGGGUUGGUUAUGAACUCCGACACAGCGGUGGUGCAUACGGAAGGGUGGUAGCCGGGACGGUUCCGGUCCCUGCGAGCGUGUCCCGGGCGUCUCCGCGGAAGUUUCACCUGCCGCGCCGCUCGAUCGCCGGGACCUCCUGGGUCUCUGCUGUGCGUAGACCAGCCGCGUUCCUUUGGGUGGCCGUGGAGCACUAAAGCGGGGCUUAUUGUUUGUUUGGUUUUGGUUUUUUUUUUUGUUUUUUUUUUGCUUUUUGUUUUUGAACUGAGGAUCUAUCAGAAAUAGGCUGAAAAGACCGAGUGAGGAAGAAACUCUUUAACAGCUAUUUUUGGCAUCUUAAGGUGAUUCUCAGGAGUUGCUACGUAUCAGAAUCAACGGAGGAGUUUUUCAAAGCAGAGAUGCCAGGGCCAGUCCCCAGACCUGAAUCAGGAAGUGAGGGAGAGAGCCGACGGAGGGGGAAAAGUCCCUUCAGCUGAUUCUUAUAAUUUUGGAAGGCUGUUUUCUUUCCUCAAACAUUGAUGGAAACAGCCCCCAUGAAGUUCACUGUGUGCUCUGAGAAGGCAGUGCCUGGAGUAUAACUCAUGAAAUAUUUAGGAUCAUUGAAACAGACCCAGUUACAUCCUUGAUUUUCUGUGGGAGCCCAGAAAUCUUGCAGGAGAAACUAUGAAAUAAGUCCACAGAUGAGGCUGAGAUACGAUAAUGCACAAACCUGUCUAAUAGACUGCAUAGCAUGGGGUUCAUUAUGCCCUGGGACAAAAUGCUUGGUUUGAAUCUGGUUCCAUCACCUACUAGCUAUGUGAUUUAGGGAAACUUACUUAGGUUGCCUCAGUUCCCUCAGUCAUGAAAGGGUGUUUGCUACGGGUAGGACCUACCUCAAGGUUGCCUCACAAACAAUAUUUGUAAAACGUUAAUAACAGCACCCAGCACAUGGUGAACAUGGAUGUUAAAGUAGACCCAAAGUUCCCUGAAGGAAACAGAACUGGCAGGAGAAACACAUGCCACUGAGAGAAAAUUUCAAGAAGAGGAAUCAUGCUGUGGCCCAAACUGAGCAGCAGGUAGAGGUAGAGGCUGUGUCCAGCCAUUUUCCUGACCUAGGCUACUAUCCCUUGUUCCUCUGGUUUGAGCAUUAUCAGAAAAAACCAGUUCUGAAAUAAAGGAAAGAGCUCUUAGGAGGUUCAUAGCAGUUCUGCUAUGAAGAAAACUCCUCUAAGUUGCUGGUAAACAAUAGUGGAAGGAGUUUUCCAGUUGUCUAGGAAAGAGAAAGGGCAUUGGAGGUGAGUGACCCAGGUAGGUAAGCAAUGGUGAGAACACGAUGUGUCCAUCAUCUGGGCACAGGAGGUUGGCAAAAGCAAGGCAGUAGCCCAAGGGUAGCGUGAAGAUUUGCAAAGGCUGGUCUGCACCUUCUGGACAGAGCAGCCAUGCUGAACAGCAGGAACAGAAGAGUACAUGAGAACCGGCAGAAGGAUGCUGAGCUGCAGCUGAAAUCUGGGAUAUUUCUGUAAAUGUACAAUACUUGCACUCACCAAUGGGUGAGGCCAGAGGAUCUAAAGGUGACAUUUUAUCUUUUAAAGUUCACUUCUCAACUGGGUGUGGUGCCUUACACCUGUAAUACCAGCACUUUGGAGGAAAACAGGAGGAUCACUGGAGGCCAGUAGUUCAAGACCAGCCUGGGCGACAUAGCAAGACCCCCAUCUCUACAAAAAAAAUUUAUUAAUACAAAUUUUAAAAAUAAUGUAAAGUUUAGUUCUCAUCAUUCCAUGGUGUACCAAGUACACUUUGACUUCUAGGUACUCUGUUGUCUGAGUGAGAACUAUUAGUACCAAGAAAAGCAGGACAGAUAGCAGAGUUCUGAGUCUAAUUACUAUCUAUUGGCUUUUCUGUGUCUCUAAGGCCUUUCAGGGGCACGUUGUAAUUCUAGUAAUAAACACCACAUUUGAACAGCAGUUUACAGUUGACAAAGUGCUUUCACACACAUCUCUUAAUUUUUGCAACCAGUAAAAUAUAGCUCAACAAUAAAUAGACUUCCUUAUGUGAAUGUACUGUAAUGUAUUAUCUAUUCAUAGACAAUAAGGUUUUCAAUUUUUUACUAUUAUAAACAAUACUGUGAAAAGCAUUGUGAUGCAUAAUUAUUUGCAUAUCUAUAAUUAUUUCUUCUGAAUAUUCCUAAAAGAAUUGCUGAUUCAAAGAAUAUGCCCAUUGUAAAAGUUUUUAAUAUGUAAAUUUAAAGUAUUCCAUAUGGAUUAUUAAAUUGUUUUGAUGUAUUUUGCUACUAUAAAUAAAAAAGUGAAAUUAACAUGCAA
RNAcentral lists this long non-coding RNA (2405 nucleotides) under Homo sapiens (human). RNAcentral's name for it is "non-protein coding lnc-SYCP1-4:5". The record is from RNAcentral. Lineage: Eukaryota; Metazoa; Chordata; Mammalia; Primates; Hominidae.